ACGGAGGGGGCAAGCGUUAUUCGGAUUUACUGGGCGUAAAGCGCACGUAGGUGGCAUGAUAAGUCAAAGGUGAAAGCCCUCGGCUCAACCGAGGAACUGCCUUUGAAACUGUUUUGCUUGAGUCCGGGAGGGGGGAGCGGAAUUCCUAGUGUAGCGGUGAAAUGCGUAGAUACUAGGAGGAACACCGGUGGCGAAGGCGGCUCCCUGGACCGGUACUGACACUGAGGUGCGAAAGCGUGGGUAGCAAACAGG
RNAcentral lists this ribosomal RNA (252 nucleotides) under uncultured bacterium. RNAcentral's name for it is "partial 16S ribosomal RNA". It matches the Rfam family "Bacterial small subunit ribosomal RNA", at positions 525 to 776 of the family's 1533-position model. The record is from RNAcentral.